Molecule: ribosomal RNA, 301 nt
Filed under: uncultured Planctomycetota bacterium
Lineage: Bacteria; Pseudomonadati; Planctomycetota
Description: bacterial SSU rRNA
Rfam family: Bacterial small subunit ribosomal RNA
Source: RNAcentral
AAUGAACGUUGGCGGCGUGGAUUAGGCAUGCAAGUCGAGCGGGUGUAGCAAUACACCAGCGGCGAAAGGGAGAGUAACGCGUAGUUUACGUACCCCGAGGACCGGAAUAGCUGCGGGAAACUGCAGGUAAUGCCGGAUAAUAUCUUCGGAUCAAAGGUGUGAUUCCGCCUUGGGAGCGGACUGCGUUGUACUAGCUAGUUGGUAGGGUAAUGGCCUACCAAGGCAACGAUGCAUACCGGGCGUGAGAGCGUGGCCCGGCUCACUGGGACUGAGACACUGCCCAGACACCUACGGGAGGCAG